UACGAAGGGUGCAAACGUUGCUCGGAAUUAUUGGGCGUAAAGCGCACGUAGGCGGCAUUGCAAGUCGGAUGUGAAAUCCCUCGGCUUAACCAAGGAAGUGCAUCCGAAACUGCAGUGCUUGAGUACUUAAGAGGAUCGCGGAAUUCCCGGUGUAGAGGUGAAAUUCGUAGAUAUCGGGAGGAACACCGGUGGCGAAGGCGGCGUUCUGGACUGCAACUGACACUGAGGAACGAAAGCCAGGGGAGCAAACGGG
This 253-nucleotide ribosomal RNA is filed under the name uncultured bacterium. RNAcentral's name for it is "partial 16S ribosomal RNA". It matches the Rfam family "Bacterial small subunit ribosomal RNA", at positions 524 to 776 of the family's 1533-position model. The record is from RNAcentral.